Long non-coding RNA from Scophthalmus maximus (turbot), 1631 nucleotides. RefSeq lists it as uncharacterized. The transcript is spliced from 2 exons. Lineage: Eukaryota; Metazoa; Chordata; Actinopteri; Pleuronectiformes; Scophthalmidae. The record is from RefSeq and is a predicted model, not a curated record.
AAUACUAUUGGUGUAUAUUGACCUGACACUAAGAAUCAUGGUUCCGUUGGCAAAGAAUUCGCUGUUUCAAACCAAGAGAGAGUUUAUGAUGGUUAUAACUGAUAUUACCAAACUACAAUAUUAGUCUUACUGACAUCGAGUCAGUUCCUUGACUUUAUGACAGGCAAGGGGCUUCGGCCCACUGCAGCCGCGUCCUUUUCAUUCCUCUCUGCUCUGUCACAUGUUAGGUCAUUAAGGAAAAGCCUCAGACUCUUCCACCUCAACUCAAACGGACGAGGCCCGCCCUUCCCAGAUACCACACGCCGAAGCUCGGAGUCUCUUUUCCGCUGUGGGGAACGCCUCGCAGGCCACCGCCAUGUGAUACAAGACAGCAAAGCCAAGGACUACAACUGUGCCCUCUCUCAUGCUGCCGUUCUCUGUCUGCCGGCGCUUCCUGGCUUUGAUGAAAGAAAACAGAAGCCUUGGAGGGAGAGACGACCAGUGCGGCCGCUGUCUUUUGAUUCAUGCCACAGAAAAAACAACUGACUGGAAAAAUCCAUUUGAAAAGGAAUGUGUUUUGUUGAGUUAAAGGGGCAGAAAUCCAAAUUCUGCACUCACCCAGCUGUACACGCACACACACACACACACGCACACACACACACGCACACACACACACAAACUCGAUACUAACCACAAGCCCCAUCGAGGCAUAGCCCUACCAUGCAAUAAACUAGAGCCAAGGAGGCAAGGAAUCCAGUCUGAGCCCUUCUGCUUUACAGGCAGAGACCUACCUGACACUGCAAUGAAGCGUACCAGCCAGCCAGAACCAUGUGUUGCUGUGUGAAUGUGUGUGUGUGUGUGCGUGUGUGUGUGUGGAAGGGGGGCUCGUCUGUUGGACAAGCUGUUGGAGCAGUGAAAGACAGUGGUGUUGGGGGGGAGCAUCUCCCUCCGCAGGGUCCUCUGGGUGCGCUGCACACAGGCAGGGGAAGGUCUGCAGCUGGACGGCUGCUGAGAAACGAGCCCCGGGGAAGCUCCCCACAGCCGAGCCAGAGGCAUUUCCACAAUAAUAAAUAAUCCAGGUUUUUUUUGUUGGUUUUUUUUAUUUGAGGGGAGGGGAGAGAAGCCUCAACCCUCUUCAAAGGAAAUGUGGAGCCCUGCAAAAAGGCUCAAAGUUAAAAUCGUUUUAAAAAAAGGAUGAAAAGGAGUUAGGAGAGAAGAAAGUGAUGACUGGAGUUUAUUCCAGACAAUGGGGAUUUUUUUUUUCUCUCUUCAGUUGCAGACACUCCUUUUGGAGCAAUUGUUUGGAGAAAGAAACUACAAAUGCAUUGUUAGCGCAUCUUUGAAAAGUGUGAUUUUUCUGGGCAGCAAAAAUAUGAAUACAUGCCACACACACACACACACACACACACACAGACUCAGACCUUUUUCAACGAGCAACUCUGCAGGGUCUUGUAUUGACGUCAUUCUACACCAAAUUGACCAUGAAACUAUUUCACCAGAGCUCACAAUGACAUCUACAUACAUACACACACCGACAUCAGCCACAACAUUAAACACAUUCACAUAAAUUCACUGUGUGAGAAGUGGGUCCAAAAAGUGGGGUCCGAAAUAUAAAGAACAUGUUACUGGUUUAAUAAAACAAUAUAAAACAA